This 253-nucleotide ribosomal RNA is filed under the name uncultured bacterium. Its description in RNAcentral is "partial 16S ribosomal RNA". It matches the Rfam family "Bacterial small subunit ribosomal RNA", at positions 524 to 776 of the family's 1533-position model. The record is from RNAcentral.
GACGAACCGUGCGACCGUUAUUCGGAAUCACUGGGCUUAAAGGGCGCGUAGGUGGUUGAUCAAGUCUGGGGUGAAAUCUUUCGGCUUAACCGGAAAAGUGCCUUGGAUACUGAUCAGCUGGAGGGAGGUAGGGGCAGUUGGAACUUCCAGUGGAGCGGUGAAAUGCGUUGAUAUUGGAAGGAACGCCGGUGGCGAAAGCGAACUGCUGGACCUCUUCUGACACUGAGGCGCGAAAGCUAGGGGAGCAAACGGG